Molecule: long non-coding RNA, 246 nt
Filed under: Panax ginseng (ginseng)
Lineage: Eukaryota; Viridiplantae; Streptophyta; Magnoliopsida; Apiales; Araliaceae
Description: long non-coding RNA (PGIN_LNC003289)
Source: RNAcentral
UGUAUAAGUCAGGUAUGACAGGCUGAUCACCUUCAUUACCAGUUGGUCCAGAUAUAUAUUGUUCAUGUUUAAUACUAGUUCAGUCAAAGGUUUGUUCAUGCUAAUUCACAACUACAUUGUGAAUUAUAGCCAGCCUAUUAUUCAGACUCUUUCAAUCAUGAUAUAUCCUUAAAUUGUAUUUAAACUUGCUGGGAAACUUUCAUGCUCACCCUUGCUAUAUCAUGAUAAAAUAUUGCAGAUAAAGAC